Molecule: unclassified non-coding RNA, 1416 nt
Filed under: Hevea brasiliensis (rubber tree)
Lineage: Eukaryota; Viridiplantae; Streptophyta; Magnoliopsida; Malpighiales; Euphorbiaceae
Source: RNAcentral
UUUUAAACUCGCAACUGGGAAACAUUGACCAUACCUUAAAAUUAAUUCAUCAAAAUGAACUGAAGUAACACAGCAAAGUUUAAGGUCCACAAUAUCACAAGAUUGAACCUUCAAAUUCUACAAAGUACUGUGUAGGCUGCCCACAGCACACCUGUGUGAGAAACAAGCUUUUCACUGGAUGCUCUAAUCCUUAGAAUUUGCAUAUACAAUAGUAGCAAACUAUCUAUGUAAUUUAGAAAAGGAAGGCCUGCAUCUUUUUGCAUCAUAUCAAAUGCAAGGCAACCAGUUCUACUCUCAAUUCACCAAUAAAGUUGUGAUUAACGCGGGAUUCCAACACACUGCUCAUCCCGAUCAGCUGGAAGACGGAAAGGAAAGCUCGCAAAGUGGAUCGUCAAGACAGGGGACUCAGGAUUUUUAUCAUCAAACUUGUACCCUGAAAAAAUCCACAUUCCAGAUCCUGAUAUAUGAUUUAUUUCCAUGCAGAACUUUUAUUGGUUGAGAAUUUUCAAUAUCUUUAAGAAGAUUACUGCAAGUUGCAUAUCAAAAGAAAUUAUCUGCAAACAUGAAAUAUGUGAUAUUGAAUUGAAAUACACAUGUACUUCAAUUGUAUACCAACCAAUCUAAAAUUAUAUGGACUGAAGACAUUGGCUACCUUGUUCCAUAAUUUCCAAAAGAAAAGGUACAAAAUGUAAAAUAUUUCGACCCUAAAAAAGUCAGUUGAAAAAUUUAAACCAAAAAGAAGCUUAUUCUUAUUUUCGGUGUACCUUGAAGAGAUUCCAUAGCAGUGACAGCAAACUUUGCAUCAAUGAACUCCACAAAGCACAAGACAGUAGCCCUAUCUCCACUACGUCUGGGCUCCUUGUGAAUAACUUUGAUGUCUUUGUAGCCAAUAAAUGGACGGAAAAGAUGGCCUACUUCCCUUCUAGUGCAAUUGGUAGGGAGCCCAUCAACAAACAGAAUGUUUGACUCUGCCCUUGGGGCUGAAGGACCAUCAACAUUUCUCAAAGAACUGGGCCUGUCAUUGAUCUUGUCAGGAAUGGCUGGAGUAAUGUUAACUGAUGCAUCCCGUCUUUGGCUUGGCAAAUUUGGAUCUUCUAGAGGAGAUGGGUACCGCUUUCCACUAGCUCCUGCUAUUACUCCACCAAUAAAAGGCUCAGAAUGAACCCCAAUCCCCGAAACAUUAUCCAACCCAUAAGACCCAGGCUCUCUGUGCGGAAAACCUGCAGCAGCAUCCCGCAACUCAUUAGAGAAUGGAAUAUGACGAGAAGCCAAAGAUGGUACUUCUGAUGACAUGUAGCCAUGAAAAUUAGGCAUACCUCUGCCUGCGAAAGCACCAUAUCGAUAGUAAGGAUCGGCCAUUGUGGUUUUUCUUUCAGGUCACUCGCUCCCCACUUGUCUUCUAACACUGAAGUUAAU